RNAcentral lists this non-coding RNA (45 nucleotides) under Schistosoma margrebowiei. Lineage: Eukaryota; Metazoa; Platyhelminthes; Trematoda; Strigeidida; Schistosomatidae. The record is from RNAcentral.
GUCCGGCUGAUGAGUCCCAAAUGGGACGAAACGCACGUCUUGGAU